AGAACUUAGCAGAGAUGCUUUGGUGCCUUCGGGAACUCUGAGACAGGUGCUGCAUGGCUGUCGUCAGCUCGUGUUGUGAGAUGUUGGGUUAAGUCCCGCAACGAGCGCAACCCUUAUCCUUUGUUGCCAGCGGUCCGGCCGGGAACUCAAAGGAGACUGCCAGUGAUAAACUGGAGGAAGGUGGGGAUGACGUCAAGUCAUCAUGGCCCUUACGAGUAGGGCUACACACGUGCUACAAUGGCGCAUACAAAGAGAAGCGACCUCGCGAGAGCAAGCGGACCUCAUAAAGUGCGUCGUAGUCCGGAUUGGAGUCUGCAACUCGACUCCAUGAAGUCGGAAUCGCUAGUAAUCGUAGAUCAGAAUGCUACGGUGAAUACGUUCCCGGGCCUUGUACACACCGCCCGUCACACCAUGGGAGUGGGCUGCAAAAGAAGUAGGUAGCUUAACCUUCGGGAGGGCGCUUACCACUUUGUGAUUCAUGACUGGGGUGAAGUCGUAACAAGGUAGGCGUAGCGAG
This 517-nucleotide ribosomal RNA is filed under the name uncultured bacterium. RNAcentral's name for it is "bacterial SSU rRNA". It matches the Rfam family "Bacterial small subunit ribosomal RNA", at positions 992 to 1509 of the family's 1533-position model. The record is from RNAcentral.